Molecule: ribosomal RNA, 253 nt
Filed under: uncultured bacterium
Lineage: Bacteria
Description: partial 16S ribosomal RNA
Rfam family: Bacterial small subunit ribosomal RNA
Source: RNAcentral
UACGUAGGGGGCAAGCGUUGUCCGGAUUUAUUGGGCGUAAAGAGCGUGUAGGCGGCCAUACAGGUCAGCUGUGAAAACUCGAGGCUCAACCUCGAGACGUCGGUUGAAACCAUCUGGCUAGAGUCCGGAAGAGGAGUGUGGAAUUCCCGGUGUAGCGGUGAAAUGCGCAGAUAUCGGGAGGAACACCUGUGGCGAAAGCGGCUCACUGGACCAUAACUGACGCUGAUGCACGAAAGCUGGGGGAGCAAACAGG